Molecule: ribosomal RNA, 497 nt
Filed under: uncultured bacterium
Lineage: Bacteria
Description: partial 16S ribosomal RNA
Rfam family: Bacterial small subunit ribosomal RNA
Source: RNAcentral
GAUGAACGCUGGCGGCGUGCCUAAUACAUGCAAGUCGAGCGAACAGACGAGGAGCUUGCUCCUCUGACGUUGGCGGCGGACGGGUGAGUAACACGUGGAUAACCUACCUAUAAGACUGGGAUAACUUCGGGAAACCGGAGCUAAUACCGGAUAAUAUAUUGAACCGCAUGGUUCAAUAGUGAAAGACGGUUUUGCUGUCACUUAUAGAUGGAUCCGCGCCGCAUUAGCUAGUUGGUAAGGUAACGGCUUACCAAGGCGACGAUGCGUAGCCGACCUGAGAGGGUGACCGGCCACACUGGAACUGAGACACGGUCCAGACUCCUACGGGAGGCAGCAGUAGGGAAUCUUCCGCAAUGGGCGAAAGCCUGACGGAGCAACGCCGCGUGAGUGAUGAAGGUCUUCGGAUCGUAAAACUCUGUUAUUAGGGAAGAACAAAUGUGUAAGUAACUAUGCACGUCUUGACGGUACCUAAUCAGAAAGCCACGGCUAACUACGUG